Long non-coding RNA from Marmota monax (woodchuck), 1326 nucleotides. RefSeq lists it as uncharacterized. The record is from RefSeq and is a predicted model, not a curated record. NCBI's taxonomy places the organism in Eukaryota, Metazoa, Chordata, Mammalia, Rodentia, Sciuridae. The transcript has 3 exons.
ACAUGAGCCCGAGCUUUAUUAGUAUUUUUUUUAAUGCUGACAAUUUUUAUGUUACUAAAAUUUCACGUGCUUCAACUUCAGUAAGUUUGGUCCAUAAAAGCUACACAUUCUGGAGAACCCCUCCCCCUACCCCAGCACAAUGUGAAUCUGUCAUUUAAAAUCUGCUUUGUGUCCAAAGGAAUAAAAUUAACUGGACUUUUUUUUCCCCCACAUGUAAAGAUGGAGUUCAGGAGAACAUUGAUAAAGGAAGUUUAUAAAUAGCUUUUCAAAAAUGGCCAACACUCAGUAGUCCUGAUUUAGUAAACCUUUCUAGCAGAGCAGCUAGCCAAUAGAGCAGAGGUUAGUUUGAGAUUCACUUGCUUUGUUGUUGUUGUUGUUGUUCCUAACUGAUCCUUGACAGCACAGGAAAUCUACAUGGUAAGGCAGAGGAGGGAGCAGGAAGCAACCCAGGCCCCAGAAAGCACGUAAACAGAGGGAGGCCCAGAGCAUGUCCUGGGGACUCAGGGCCCUUCCCAGCACAAGCCAGCUCCUCAUUCUCAGGCAUCUCAGCAGAUUCAGUUUGUCCUUGUCUUUGUGUAGCUGUCCCCUCCACUCUCCUUAUUUUAGGAUAUUUACCGCCUUCUCCUCUGCCCUCCUCAAGUCACUAAGUGGACCCAAUAUUUCAGUGCUCCUGUUAUUUGCUACUCCUAAAGCUCUGCUGCCCAGAGACUGCCACCCAAAUGGAUGUGCCUUUUAUUCUCUGAGAGGAUAAAUUGCAGUUGACAUCAUCAAGGAAACACACACAGGCCUCGCCAGGAGAGAGACGUAUCCUACCUUGAGCAGGAUGUACCUACCAUCCAAGUACCACUGCAUCAGAGGGACCGCUGUGCUUCCUGCAGCAGUGUGCACAUCCUAUGAAGUCCAGAAGCUGGAGCAGAUGCCCAGAUGACAGAGCUCAGCCGUCUAGGUGGCCUUCUUCAUCUCUAGCAGAUGAACUGAGUGCUCUGGAAUCCUGAGGGGAGAGAGGAGGCAGGAGUCCCUCCUAUGGCACAAAUUCUCAAGAAACUGACCACAGUUUUUACUGAGGGGUCCAAGAGGCUGAACUUCAUCACAGGUGUGUUCUGUUGUCCUUUAAACAUAUGAUGUCACAGCCAGAAAAGUUCCCUUUACCAGCUGUAUUAUCAAAUAUUAGCUUACAUGUGUGGCUCUUCUGCAUUUCCACAUGUAUUUUCUUAGUCUAUAUUGUAAGUGAGGAAGUGGAGACUCCAAGAAGCGACCUGCCCUGCCCACCUCGCAAGUAAAAAUGGAGCUAAUACAGAAGACAGAUAUUUUAAAAUCUAUAAUGAA